AUUGUGUUUCUUAGGAUUGGCCUCCUCUUGCUGAUUUUAUGUUUAUUUAACUGUUAACUUUUUUUUUUUUUUGAUCUUUAUUAAAUCCUGGUUUUCUUCACAUGUUUGAUUUCUUGUCAGUUGUCGGUAGGUUUUUCACUUAAUUUAUUCUUUAUGGUUUUUAAAAUCUGCUGAAAAAAAAUACUUAAUAAUAAUUAUAAACAAAAUCCCUAGACCCAAACUCUAACUCCCCAAACGGCCCCCAGGAAAAUGAAAGCUCAUGUGAAACAACAUGAUGCUGAAAUCAAUACUGGCUGCGUUCUAUUUGGUUGUAUAUUCUCAAGGAUACAACUCUCACCAACAAAAUCUUUGAUUGUGGAAAAGGCUAAACCGUCAUCCUCAAUCAUUAAGAAGAGAUCUCUUUCCUGUACAGGCCGCCGUGACACUUUUAUCAGACUUGCUCAUGAUAGAAGGGCUCAGGAAUCCAUCUUGAUAGUUUUAUCACACCUUCACAACUCGUUUGUGGAUCCUUACAUGCUGUCAGUAUUAGAAGACUACUCAUUGAAGAACGAAUGCUUCCUAUGUUAUUGAAGAAUUACAAAUGGUUUGGUUAUAUUUGUUUAUUUGGUUUUAGGAUCUUGUCAAGGACUCAUCGCGUUGUGCUCUUUUCCUUCGUCAAGGUUUUAUCCUUUUGGUUUUGGGUUUUCCUUGAUAAGGUUUUUAACGAGGCAACAUAUGCGUGUCCAACACCUUUCAGUGGUUUUCACAUUUACCUUCUAUUUUUCAUAUGUUAUUUUUCAUGUAUUUCCUUUAUUACCAAUGUAAUCAAGGCUGCUAACGCCAUAAGUUAGUUUUUUUUAAUAUAAUACCUAAUUCACAAAAGAAAAAGAAAAAA
Long non-coding RNA from Papaver somniferum (opium poppy), 874 nucleotides. RefSeq lists it as uncharacterized. The transcript is spliced from 2 exons. The record is from RefSeq and is a predicted model, not a curated record. Lineage: Eukaryota; Viridiplantae; Streptophyta; Magnoliopsida; Ranunculales; Papaveraceae.